Molecule: long non-coding RNA, 149 nt
Organism: Amblyraja radiata (thorny skate)
Lineage: Eukaryota; Metazoa; Chordata; Chondrichthyes; Rajiformes; Rajidae
Exons: 3
Source: RefSeq, a predicted model, not a curated record
GCACAGUAGCGUAACGGAUAGAGCCACUGCCCCACAGCGCCGGAAACCCAGGUUCGAUCCUGCCCUCAGGGUACUGUCUGUGUGGAGUUUGCACGUUCUCACUGUGACUGCAAGGGUUUCCGCCGGGUGCCCCGGUUUUCUUCCUCAUC